This is an RNA transcript of Phycodurus eques (leafy seadragon), 1132 nucleotides long. It is a transcript of the gene named NADH:ubiquinone oxidoreductase subunit B9, with no coding region annotated. The transcript has 5 exons. Lineage: Eukaryota; Metazoa; Chordata; Actinopteri; Syngnathiformes; Syngnathidae. The record is from RefSeq and is a predicted model, not a curated record.
GUCCCAGCAUGCUUUGCGCGGCGCUGGAGUCGAAGGUGACACGAAAGGAAGAGAAAGGAGAGCGCCGAGUCAAACAGAGCGGAGAAGGAGGAGAAUGGCCUCCGCGUACCUCAGUCACCAGCAGAAGGUGCUGCGACUCUACAAGAAAUCCCUUAGACACAUCGAGUCGUGGUGUAUCUUUCGUGACAAGUACCGCUUCUACGCGUGCCUGCUGCGCGCCCGCUUCGACGAGAACAAGAACGAGAAGGACAUGAUGAAGGCCGCCAUGCUGCUGAAAGCGGGAGAGGAGGAGUUCUGGGACAAGCAGCAUCCGCAGCCCUACAUCUUCCCCGACUCCCCCGGCGGAACCUCCUACGAGCGCUACGAAUGCUACAAGACGCCCGAGUGGGUCCUGGAUCAUUGGCACCCGUCCGAGAAGGCCGUGUACCCCGACUACUUCGCCAAGAGGGAGCAGUGGAAGAAGCUGAGGGCGCUCAGCUGGGAUAAAGAGGUGGCUCAGCUGCAGGCCGAGACUCCGGCCGACGGGCCCAAGUCGGAAGCCCUCCCCCCGGCCCGCAAGGAGGGCGACCUGCCGCCUCUGUGGUGGCAGUACGUCACCCGCCCAAGGGAGCGCCCCACAUAAACGCCCCACCUCUCGCCCCCACCCGCUGUUGAAUUAGUGUCCGGAAGAACGUUUGACUUUGUCCAGAGGUUCACGUUUGUUGGCCAAGACGACCACCCGAUCCCAUUUGGGAUGGAACUUGUAGUGUAACACAGGAUCGACAUUUUGAGCCCCUCCAGGAGUGGAAUCAGAUGGUCGGGCGUUGCCGUGGCGACAUGCACGGCCUGAAGUUGUACGCCGAGAUCAACGUGCCAGGAGAGGGCCUUGCUGGAGUAGAAGUCUGAAUCCUUUCAGGAGAACCACACCACCCUGUUGGGACCCAGCAGGUUGUCAGCCUUCAGGGGGUAACCACCUCCCUGAAGACAGAUGUCACGUCAGUCUUCUUAAUGAGUUAAUAGAAAAUUAUUGUUAAAAGAGAUGUUAUUUCCCUAUAAAAGCAAUUUUUUUCAAACUUUUUUGUGCUCUUUGACCAACCAAACAGAGAUUUGUCAACUAAAAUUAGAUUUUGUUCAACAUGAAAACAUCCUGAAA